UAAUAAGUGUUUUAUGGCACUUUUUAAAUCCAUAUCCACCUUGUGUGCAAUGUCAGUCGAUCUUCUUCAUGGAGAUCGACCAAACAUCAACCUUUAUCCUUUUAACUCUUUGUCUGAAAAAUAUUAUGAAUAAACAAUUCAAAAUA
Molecule: unclassified non-coding RNA, 146 nt
Filed under: soil metagenome
Description: partial internal transcribed spacer 1
Source: RNAcentral